AGUGAACGCUGGCGGUAGGCCUAACACAUGCAAGUCGAACGGCAGCACAGUAAGAGCUUGCUCUUACGGGUGGCGAGUGGCGGACGGGUGAGGAAUACAUCGGAAUCUACUUUUUCGUGGGGGAUAACGUAGGGAAACUUACGCUAAUACCGCAUACGACCUACGGGUGAAAGCAGGGGAUCUUCGGACCUUGCGCGAUUGAAUGAGCCGAUGUCGGAUUAGCCAGUUGGCGGGGUAAAGGCCCACCAAGGCGACGAUCCGUAGCUGGUCUGAGAGGAUGAUCAGCCACACUGGAACUGAGACACGGUCCAGACUCCUACGGGAGGCAGCAGUGGGGAAUAUUGGACAAUGGGCGCAAGCCUGAUCCAGCCAUACCGCGUGGGUGAAGAAGGCCUUCGGGUUGUAAAGCCCUUUUGUUGGGAAAGAGAAGCAGCAGGUUAAUACCCCGCUGUUCUGACGGUACCCAAAGAAUAAGCACCGGCUAACUUCGUG
Molecule: ribosomal RNA, 492 nt
Filed under: uncultured bacterium
Lineage: Bacteria
Description: partial 16S ribosomal RNA
Rfam family: Bacterial small subunit ribosomal RNA
Source: RNAcentral